Molecule: ribosomal RNA, 465 nt
Filed under: uncultured bacterium
Lineage: Bacteria
Description: partial 16S ribosomal RNA
Rfam family: Bacterial small subunit ribosomal RNA
Source: RNAcentral
CCUACGGGCGGCUGCAGUAGGGAAUCUUCCACAAUGGGCGAAAGCCUGAUGGAGCAACGCCUCGUGGGUGAAGAAGGUCUUCGGAUCGUAAAACCCUGUUGUUAGAGAAGAAAGUGCGUGAGAGUAACUGUUCACGUUUCGACGGUAUCUAACCAGAAAGCCACGGCUAACUACGUGCCAGCAGCCGCGGUAAUACGUAGGUGGCAAGCGUUAUCCGGAUUUAUUGGGCGUAAAGGGAACGCAGGCGGUCUUUUAAGUCUGAUGUGAAAGCCUUCGGCUUAACCGGAGUAGUGCAUUGGAAACUGGGAGACUUGAGUGCAGAAGAGGAGAGUGGAACUCCAUGUGUAGCGGUGAAAUGCGUAGAUAUUGCGCAGAACUCCGAUUGCGAAGGCAGCAUACCGGCGGCGAUCUGACGCUGAGGCACGAAAGCGUGGGUAUCGAACAGGAUUAGAUACCCCUGUAGUC